AGACGUUUGACCUGGCGUCAGAAUUGAACGCUGGCGGCAUGCUUACACAUGCAAGGUCGAACGGCGAGCGCGGGGCGAACCUGCGGCGAGGUGGCGAACGGGUGAGUAAUACAAUCGGAACGUACCCGAGAAGUGGGGGAGUAACGUAGCGAAAGUUACGCUAAUACCGCAUACGUUCUACGGAAGAAAGUGGGGGACCUUCGGGCCUCAUGCUUUUGGAGCGGCCGAUGUCUGAUUAGCUAGUUGGUGAGGUAAAGGCUCACCAAGGCGACGAUCAGUAGCUGGUCUGAGAGGACGACCAGCCACACUGGGACCGAGACACGGCCCAGACUCCUACGGGAGGCAGCAGUGGGGAAUUUUGGACAAUGGGCGCAAGCCUGAUCCAGCAAUGCCGCGUGAGUGAAGAAGGCCUUCGGGUUGUAAAGCUCUUUUGUCAGGGAAGAAACGGUUGAGGCUAAUAUCCUCGGUUAAUGACGGUACCUGAAGAAUAAGCACCGACUAACUACGUG
This 509-nucleotide ribosomal RNA is filed under the name uncultured Oxalobacteraceae bacterium. Its description in RNAcentral is "bacterial SSU rRNA". It matches the Rfam family "Bacterial small subunit ribosomal RNA", at positions 8 to 507 of the family's 1533-position model. The record is from RNAcentral. Lineage: Bacteria; Pseudomonadati; Pseudomonadota; Betaproteobacteria; Burkholderiales; Oxalobacteraceae.